RNAcentral lists this ribosomal RNA (2930 nucleotides) under Escherichia coli. RNAcentral's name for it is "23S ribosomal RNA". It matches the Rfam family "Bacterial large subunit ribosomal RNA". Lineage: Bacteria; Pseudomonadati; Pseudomonadota; Gammaproteobacteria; Enterobacterales; Enterobacteriaceae. The record is from RNAcentral.
GGGUUGUGAGGUUAAGCGACUAAGCGUACACGGUGGAUGCCCUGGCAGUCAGAGGCGAUGAAGGACGUGCUAAUCUGCGAUAAGCGUCGGUAAGGUGAUAUGAACCGUUAUAACCGGCGAUUUCCGAAUGGGGAAACCCAGUGUGAUUCGUCACACUAUCAUUAACUGAAUCCAUAGGUUAAUGAGGCGAACCGGGGGAACUGAAACAUCUAAGUACCCCGAGGAAAAGAAAUCAACCGAGAUUCCCCCAGUAGCGGCGAGCGAACGGGGAGGAGCCCAGAGCCUGAAUCAGUGUGUGUGUUAGUGGAAGCGUCUGGAAAGGCGCGCGAUACAGGGUGACAGCCCCGUACACAAAAAUGCACAUGCUGUGAGCUCGAUGAGUAGGGCGGGACACGUGGUAUCCUGUCUGAAUAUGGGGGGACCAUCCUCCAAGGCUAAAUACUCCUGACUGACCGAUAGUGAACCAGUACCGUGAGGGAAAGGCGAAAAGAACCCCGGCGAGGGGAGUGAAAAAGAACCUGAAACCGUGUACGUACAAGCAGUGGGAGCACGCUUAGGCGUGUGACUGCGUACCUUUUGUAUAAUGGGUCAGCGACUUAUAUUCUGUAGCAAGGUUAACCGAAUAGGGGAGCCGAAGGGAAACCGAGUCUUAACUGGGCGUUAAGUUGCAGGGUAUAGACCCGAAACCCGGUGAUCUAGCCAUGGGCAGGUUGAAGGUUGGGUAACACUAACUGGAGGACCGAACCGACUAAUGUUGAAAAAUUAGCGGAUGACUUGUGGCUGGGGGUGAAAGGCCAAUCAAACCGGGAGAUAGCUGGUUCUCCCCGAAAGCUAUUUAGGUAGCGCCUCGUGAAUUCAUCUCCGGGGGUAGAGCACUGUUUCGGCAAGGGGGUCAUCCCGACUUACCAACCCGAUGCAAACUGCGAAUACCGGAGAAUGUUAUCACGGGAGACACACGGCGGGUGCUAACGUCCGUCGUGAAGAGGGAAACAACCCAGACCGCCAGCUAAGGUCCCAAAGUCAUGGUUAAGUGGGAAACGAUGUGGGAAGGCCCAGACAGCCAGGAUGUUGGCUUAGAAGCAGCCAUCAUUUAAAGAAAGCGUAAUAGCUCACUGGUCGAGUCGGCCUGCGCGGAAGAUGUAACGGGGCUAAACCAUGCACCGAAGCUGCGGCAGCGACACUAUGUGUUGUUGGGUAGGGGAGCGUUCUGUAAGCCUGCGAAGGUGUGCUGUGAGGCAUGCUGGAGGUAUCAGAAGUGCGAAUGCUGACAUAAGUAACGAUAAAGCGGGUGAAAAGCCCGCUCGCCGGAAGACCAAGGGUUCCUGUCCAACGUUAAUCGGGGCAGGGUGAGUCGACCCCUAAGGCGAGGCCGAAAGGCGUAGUCGAUGGGAAACAGGUUAAUAUUCCUGUACUUGGUGUUACUGCGAAGGGGGGACGGAGAAGGCUAUGUUGGCCGGGCGACGGUUGUCCCGGUUUAAGCGUGUAGGCUGGUUUUCCAGGCAAAUCCGGAAAAUCAAGGCUGAGGCGUGAUGACGAGGCACUACGGUGCUGAAGCAACAAAUGCCCUGCUUCCAGGAAAAGCCUCUAAGCAUCAGGUAACAUCAAAUCGUACCCCAAACCGACACAGGUGGUCAGGUAGAGAAUACCAAGGCGCUUGAGAGAACUCGGGUGAAGGAACUAGGCAAAAUGGUGCCGUAACUUCGGGAGAAGGCACGCUGAUAUGUAGGUGAAGUCCCUCGCGGAUGGAGCUGAAAUCAGUCGAAGAUACCAGCUGGCUGCAACUGUUUAUUAAAAACACAGCACUGUGCAAACACGAAAGUGGACGUAUACGGUGUGACGCCUGCCCGGUGCCGGAAGGUUAAUUGAUGGGGUCAGCGCAAGCGAAGCUCUUGAUCGAAGCCCCGGUAAACGGCGGCCGUAACUAUAACGGUCCUAAGGUAGCGAAAUUCCUUGUCGGGUAAGUUCCGACCUGCACGAAUGGCGUAAUGAUGGCCAGGCUGUCUCCACCCGAGACUCAGUGAAAUUGAACUCGCUGUGAAGAUGCAGUGUACCCGCGGCAAGACGGAAAGACCCCGUGAACCUUUACUAUAGCUUGACACUGAACAUUGAGCCUUGAUGUGUAGGAUAGGUGGGAGGCUUUGAAGUGUGGACGCCAGUCUGCAUGGAGCCGGCCUUGAAAUACCACCCUUUAAUGUUUGAUGUUCUAACGUUGACCCGUGAUCCGGGUUGCGGACAGUGUCUGGUGGGUAGUUUGACUGGGGCGGUCUCCUCCUAAAGAGUAACGGAGGAGCACGAAGGUUGGCUAAUCCUGGUCGGACAUCAGGAGGUUAGUGCAAUGGCAUAAGCCAGCUUGACUGCGAGCGUGACGGCGCGAGCAGGUGCGAAAGCAGGUCAUAGUGAUCCGGUGGUUCUGAAUGGAAGGGCCAUCGCUCAACGGAUAAAAGGUACUCCGGGGAUAACAGGCUGAUACCGCCCAAGAGUUCAUAUCGACGGCGGUGUUUGGCACCUCGAUGUCGGCUCAUCACAUCCUGGGGCUGAAGUAGGUCCCAAGGGUAUGGCUGUUCGCCAUUUAAAGUGGUACGCGAGCUGGGUUUAGAACGUCGUGAGACAGUUCGGUCCCUAUCUGCCGUGGGCGCUGGAGAACUGAGGGGGGCUGCUCCUAGUACGAGAGGACCGGAGUGGACGCAUCACUGGUGUUCGGGUUGUCAUGCCAAUGGCACUGCCCGGUAGCUAAAUGCGGAAGAGAUAAGUGCUGAAAGCAUCUAAGCACGAAACUUGCCCCGAGAUGAGUUCUCCCUGACUCCUUGAGAGUCCUGAAGGAACGUUGAAGACGACGACGUUGAUAGGCCGGGUGUGUAAGCGCAGCGAUGCGUUGAGCUAACCGGUACUAAUGAACCGUGAGGCUUAACCUUACAACGCCGAAGGUGUUU